This 63-nucleotide transfer RNA is filed under the name Laemobothrion maximum. Its description in RNAcentral is "tRNA-Ser". Lineage: Eukaryota; Metazoa; Arthropoda; Insecta; Psocodea; Laemobothriidae. The record is from RNAcentral.
AAGAGAGUUAGUUUAUUAAAAAACAUUUACUUUGAAAGUAAAAAUUGAUUAUUCACUCUCUUA